Long non-coding RNA from Pogoniulus pusillus (Red-fronted tinkerbird), 896 nucleotides. RefSeq lists it as uncharacterized. The transcript has 2 exons. Lineage: Eukaryota; Metazoa; Chordata; Aves; Piciformes; Lybiidae. The record is from RefSeq and is a predicted model, not a curated record.
GAGGAGAGAAAGAGAGAAGGAGAGAGAGGAGAGAAAGAGAGAAGGAGAGAAAGAGAACGAAAAAGAGAGAGAGAGAAAGAAAGGAAGUGUGAAGAAAAAAGCAAUUCUUCUUUAACUGCAAAGGAAAGUUGGAAGUGGAUAAGGAGGGGGAGAACAUUAUCUUCGCUGUUAGUGGUGGGCAAUAGAUACCUACAUGUAUAAAUAAUGUAAAAGGACAAAAAGCGAAGGGAUUCCGGCUCCACAGAACUAAAGAUCAUGAACAGAAACAGCCCGUGCCCUCCUUCCUCCUUUUCUCUCUCUCUCUCUCCCUCCCUCCCUCCCCGAAAGCUCUUUUCCCACCGUACACCAGCCCAGGCGUCCGGCAGUGAGACACCAGAGAGCAAAACAAACCCGUUACGAGAAGCUGAAAACGCGCGGAAAAGCUUCUGAGAAGAAAUGGAGCUUGACAGAACCAGGCCGCGCCGGCUGUAUGAAAAAUGCAUCUCGCGUUGCUAAAGUAGCACCAAGUGCGUUUGCGGGAGGGAGAAAAACACAAGGCGAGAUUAAAAAGAGAAUUAAAAUACCCACCCUCUGCUUUUGUUCCAGCUUCUCCCUCCUCCCCAGCCCCACGCACGGCCGCGGGAACCCUAGGGAGAGCAGAGCCCCCUCCGCUUCCCUCGCACCCCACAUCUCCCGAGGCCUCUCGCAGCUCCUCGGUGAAGAGGGUUUGUGUCUCACAAUGCCCCCGGCCAAGCACUUUCGCUCUGCUUCUCUCGCACAGACUCAACAGACAAGACUACAGACACCGACGGACAUACAUGGCAAUGGAAGAGCUGUUACCUUGCUUGGUGAAUUCCAUGCAAUCAAUGCAUCUCCAUGUAUUUAAUGUGUGUGUGUGUGGAUUUCCCCCUUUGCAA